Molecule: long non-coding RNA, 820 nt
Filed under: Lepisosteus oculatus (spotted gar)
Lineage: Eukaryota; Metazoa; Chordata; Actinopteri; Semionotiformes; Lepisosteidae
Description: lncRNA (ENSLOCG00000021980.1)
Source: RNAcentral
GAUCUGUAAGCUCUUACAGCAGGUCAAUAUCAGCAGCUUUAGAGAAUUUUCUUUCCAGUAUUGUAACAGUGUCCUUAAAAUUCUAUUGCAUUGCAAAAUCCCUGCAUUUAAAGACAACAGCUAAAACUAAAAGACAUUUACUGUGUUAUUUAGAGCCUUCACGCUUACAAUCCCUGAAUAUCAGUGAAGCUUUCCUGUCCUUCGACAGUGACAUCACAGUAAUGUGGUGGUUAGCGCUGUUGCAUCACAGCUCUUGUGUCCUGGAUUCAGUUCCUGUGUAGAGUUUCCAUACGCUCCCUGGGUACCCAGGUAUUCCCAGACUACUCUGGUCACCUCCCAACUUACAAAGACAUGGCGUCUAGGUCAGUUGAUGUCAGUGAAUUGUAUCCUUCCUGUGACCUCUGCUUCCAGGACAGGCUCCAGGUGGCCUGGACCAGGAAUAAGCGCCUUUCUAAAAAUGGAUGGAUGGACGAAGACUGUACUAUGCUAAGGACAAUCUAGAGAUCGUCCAAUACUUUUCAGGGCAGCUUACAGAUUCCCUUGUGUGUCUUGAAAGGCCUCAUCUGUUGUCAACAGACAGGAACAGAUGCACAGCUAAGGGUUGUGUCAAGUACUCCAAAUGACAAAGGUCAUUAAAAAGCAGCGAAGCAGGCUGAUGGCACUUACAUUGUGUUGAAGUACAAAGACGUAUAAUAAAUACAGAUUUAUUAAGUAGGGGUGUUUAAUCCUCUGCCAAAAUCUUCUGUGUAAGUUUUCUCAUCCUACGGUCUGAUAUUCAUAUGAAUGUUCAAUAAAAGAACAAUGGAAAGCAAAACCUAUU